AAAAUGUCCCUUUUUUUACGUAAAAUGUCUUACAGAUUUUAUUUCUGUAAGACAUUUCCCAUUCCUUCACCCUCAUCAGAGAGCAGUCCGUCUCCUUUCCUCCCCGUCCAUCAGCGUCAGCCUCUUCUCCUUAUCUUGGGUGUGCUUUUUAUCAACAGAAUGGGUCAGGGCAACAAAGAAAGGACAACCAAGCAAUUCAGGUGGACAAAACCAAUGGAAUAUAUUUUUUCUCAAAAUUCUAGCAGAUGGGGCCCAAAAAGGAAAUAAGCCUUCUAACACUUUCAAAGCAGUUUCUAUUAAUCGAGUAGCUAUAGCUAUUUCUGAAAAAUUCCAAGUUCAAUGUGAUUCUAAGCAUGUGGAAAAUCAUUUGAGGACUGUAAAAAAUCAAUGGCAAAUAAUAUGCAAUUCGAGCCAAAAGUGGUUUUGGAUGGGAUGAUAACAUGAAAAUGAUCACAUGUGAUAGAUCGACAUAUGAUACAAUAGUAAUGAUAAUAUAUUUAUAUAUAUGUUAAAUAUAUCUUAGCAUUAUAUUAUUUACUUGUUAUCCUAAUUAUGUAUAAUAUCCAACAAGCACACAAGAAGUAUGAACCAUUUUUUAAUAAAAGCAUUUAUCAUUAUGAUGAAAUGGCUUUGGUUGUUGGCAAAGAUAUGGUAAUAAAGAGUUUUGCUAGAACAUUUGCUGACAUAGACUUGGAUGACAUUAACCAAGAUUCAUUGCCUAUAGACUACGACAUUAAGGAGAUUGAGAUUGCAAAUGCAUUGGAACAAUUUACUGCAGAUAAGACACCACAUCUUUACGAAGAAAUGAUGUCGAUGGAGGUGGAAGGAUUUGAUGACGGCUUCCUUUGUAGUGUGUUUGAUUAUCUUGUGAGUCGUGAAUCGGAGGCCAAAACCUUCUUAGUCAAAAGUACGAAGCAUAGACUUCAAAAAUUUUCUCAAGGUUGAAGAUAUAUAUGCUUUAAUGUGGUGUAGUACUAAUUAUAUGGUGUAAUACUAGUUAUGCACUUGGACAAUAUUGUAAUUAUCAUGUGGUGUACUACUAAUUAUGUAUUUGGAUAAUAUUCUUAAUUUGUAAUUAUCAUGUGGUGUACUUCUAAUUUGUAAUAUUAGUUAUGGAAAAUAUUAUAGUUAUCAUGUGGUAA
Gossypium arboreum is the source of this 1142-nucleotide long non-coding RNA. RefSeq lists it as uncharacterized. NCBI's taxonomy places the organism in Eukaryota, Viridiplantae, Streptophyta, Magnoliopsida, Malvales, Malvaceae. The record is from RefSeq and is a predicted model, not a curated record. The transcript is spliced from 3 exons.